Molecule: non-coding RNA, 944 nt
Filed under: Ipomoea nil (Japanese morning glory)
Lineage: Eukaryota; Viridiplantae; Streptophyta; Magnoliopsida; Solanales; Convolvulaceae
Description: Eukaryotic large subunit ribosomal RNA
Rfam family: Eukaryotic large subunit ribosomal RNA
Source: Rfam by way of RNAcentral
AGGCGAAGUGAAUACACACUACUUUUAACGUUACUUUCUUUAUUCCAGUGAAUCGGCAGGCGGGGCACUUCGCCCCUCUUUUUGGACCCAAGGCUCGGCGUUGCGCGCGAUCGGGCGGAACGACAUUGCAGGUGGGGGAGUUAGGCUCGGCGGCGCACAUCUCCUAAAGAAUAACGCAGGAUGUCUAGAUGAGCUCAACGAGAAACAGAAAUCUCGUGUGAACAGAAGGGUAAAAAGCUCGUUUGAUUCUGAUUUCCCAGUACGAAUAACGAACCGUGAAAGCGUGGCCGUAACGAUCCUUUAGGAACCUUCGGAAUUCGAAGCUAGGAGGUGUCAGAAAAGUUACCACGAGGGUAAUAACUGGUUGUGGCCAGCCAAGCGUUCAUCAGCGACGUUUGCUUUGAUCCUUCGAUGGUUGCGUCUCUUCUAUCAUUGCUGAAGCAGAAUUCACCAAGUGUUGGAUUGUUCACCACCAAUUAGGAACGCUGAGCUGGUUUAGACCGGUCGUGCAGACAGGGUUAGUUUUACCCUACGAUGACAGAUGUCGCAAUAGUAAUUACAACCUAGUACGAGAGAACCGUUGAUUCGCACAAUUGGUCAUCGCCUUGGUUUGAAACCAUGGCGCCGAAGCUACCGUGAGUUUGAUUAUGACAUGAACGCCUGCUAAGUCAGAAUCCGGGCUGACCGACGCAUGCGCUCGUCGCGUUUGGCCGACCCGCAGUAGGGGCCCAUUUGGCCCCUAACGGCACGUAGUCGUUGGCUAAGCCGUCGUUGCGGAAGGGUCACGCGUCGGCCGCCUUUGAAUUACAAUUCCGAUCGAGCGCCGAGCUGAAUCCUUUGCAGCGACUAAUAACGCGGACGCCGCGGUACUUGUAAACCGGGUAGCAGUGCCUUGCUUAGCCACGAUCCUCUUGAGAUUCAGGCCCUUGUCGCUCACGAUUCGU